AGGUGAGAGUAUCACUUGCUGGAGAUCUCUGCCUUUCUGAGAUAUUCUAAAGGCCUCUGUCUUGUGCUAUUUGACUUCCAGCACAGCAAAGCCAUUUCGUGAUGGAUCCACUGAAACUGCUGCUUCUUGCAGAGCUGAAGAAUGGGACUGCUCUGAAGCACAAGGUUGGCCAGCCACUGGGCCACCAUUUGGUCAUCACCCUUCCAAAGAUCUGUAGUCAACCCCUGCCAGAAGCCACCCAAGGUGUGUUGCUUUGUGCUGAGCCGUGCUGGCAGGCAGCAUGUGUGCCAGGCAU
This is a long non-coding RNA of Phasianus colchicus (ring-necked pheasant), 295 nucleotides long. RefSeq lists it as uncharacterized. Lineage: Eukaryota; Metazoa; Chordata; Aves; Galliformes; Phasianidae. The record is from RefSeq and is a predicted model, not a curated record.